GACCGCGAGCCGAGCGGCGUCGCCGGGCUGCAAACCCGGUGCUGCGGGUGCGAGUCCCGCCGCGGUCUCCA
RNAcentral lists this transfer RNA (71 nucleotides) under Acidobacteriota bacterium. RNAcentral's name for it is "Acidobacteria bacterium (marine sediment metagenome) tRNA-OTHER". It matches the Rfam family "tRNA". From Rfam's summary of the family: Transfer RNA (tRNA) molecules are approximately 80 nucleotides in length. Their secondary structure includes four short double-helical elements and three loops (D, anti-codon, and T loops). Lineage: Bacteria; Pseudomonadati; Acidobacteriota. RNAcentral also lists the same sequence under 1 other name. The record is from RNAcentral.